Long non-coding RNA from Esox lucius (northern pike), 1325 nucleotides. The record is from Ensembl. NCBI's taxonomy places the organism in Eukaryota, Metazoa, Chordata, Actinopteri, Esociformes, Esocidae.
UUCCUGAAAUAACUUUGAGGAACGUACCCCCUUCUAAUAGGGUUGUUUUGAAGAAGUGAUAGGCCAAAAGUUUAUAUUUAAAGAAUGUCUAAAAAGAACCUCCCGGGAACCUUUCCCCUUUAGAGUGCAUUUGUAUGUAGAGCAAAACCAGAAGAUUUCAAAAGAUCCUUCAUGAAACAGACACAUUUAGCAGUCCUUUUUUAGACCAAUGUAACUUCCUUUGAUAACCAUAAGGUUUCCCUUAUUUUAUUAGCAAUUUAGUCAUGAAAAUGUGGUACACAGUAGUUGAGGUUUGUCUGCUCUUGGAGCCUGCUUUGUCAUUUGUUCAUUCAAUAUGCAAAUUACAUUCUUAUUUUGUUGCAUACCUUAUUUAGUUAUUGUUUUUGAAGCUUUAUAUGCUAGGCCUCAAGAAACUAGUAAUUUUAAUAGCCCUUAUUGUUGAUAAAAUCUAACCACAAGGUGGCAGUAUAUGCUAACCUCUAUGCAGUGAGUGUCGUUAUAGAUAUUGUCUGAUGAUGCUUGCUUUGACAUUCCUAUGCUUGAGAUUUCAAUUGCUUUUGUUCCCAAUAAUGUCUAAAGCUGCAAUGUUUAAAUGAAGCUUGUCCUUUUAGUUUUUGGUUAAUUUUAUUCUUUAAAAGUAACAAUAUUGUUUCAUUAUAUUGAACAAUAUGCAAACCAGGAUAAGUAAGCCAGUGAGAGUGAAAUUGUAUGAAUAAAAUGUGAAGGGAAGAGUGAAUUGUUUCUGUAAUUAAACAUGUAAAUGUGCUUUGAGACAGCAGCAAUUGCGUUUAAAAGCUGUAUUGUUAUAAUAUUGCCAUUGGUUAGCACACUCCCACUCAAAUUCUCAAGGUGUAAACUGAUGUAAGAAUGCUUUUGGGCCUGAAAUUAAAUUGUGUCAUGUGCAUAACUAAAAGUGUUUGUUAUAAAAGAGAAAGUGGGUACUUUUUCAGCAUUGCUUUUAUAGCUAUAAUUGCAGGUUCACAUACAGACAACAAAAUCGAAUGUGUUCCAUUGUUUUAGCUUGUGUUCUUAUAAAAGGGUGCUCUAACAUAAAUUUACUUUAAGUAUGUGUUGAAUGGCCCGUAAUCCCAUAGUGGUUUGGAAGGUGAACGCUUUCUGAUUCAAAUGCUUUUUGUUUAAACUGCAGAAUGCCCCUUUAAAAAAAGUCAACAGAAAGCUGUGAUCCACACUAUUGUCAUUUUUUCAUUAAAAUCUAUGAAUUGCCAUGGUGGAAAGCUGCCAACCUUGAGUGUAAUAGGUUUACAUUUCAAUGGCACUGUACCUGAACAUAUUUACUCUGGCAUAUCCUGUCAGAACAUACAGUG